This is a long non-coding RNA of Panthera uncia (snow leopard), 309 nucleotides long. RefSeq lists it as uncharacterized. The transcript is spliced from 2 exons. The record is from RefSeq and is a predicted model, not a curated record. Lineage: Eukaryota; Metazoa; Chordata; Mammalia; Carnivora; Felidae.
CCGGAAGGGGCUAUUCUGCCAGCCCAGGUGGGAGAGUGGAGGUCCCUGGCCUGGAAUGGGCCUUGAAGGAAAGAGGAGGAGAGGGAAGGAAGGAUCCUUCAGGAUCUGAUGCCACAAAAAUGGGUGACUGAGACAUCCCCCACAUACAACUCCGCCUGAGAGCGGCUGACACCUGCACAGGGACGAUAACAAGUCAGAACCUUCGGCAGCGUGGGGACCAGAACUCCCGCCCUACCAGCCAAGAGCACCCAGAUGGCUGAGAUAGUUCUUGCUUAUUCACGUCUCCAAGGAUAAAGAAAGCCUACCUGA